ACUGCCGCCCCGUACCGGUGUGUCCGCGGCGCGCGCCGCCGCCACCACCAACGCCACCGCCGCAGCCACCGCAGCCGCCGCGCGGGGCCGCAGGGAAGAGCCGCAGGGCUCAGGACGGACAGGUGGGGGCCCCACGGCCGCUCCCGCACGGGGUCUCGGGAGGGCGCUUUGGCGGCGCGGGCGCAGCUCACCUUUAAGGCCCGAGAACAACAACAAAAAAAAAAAAGUCAGGAAACGUUUGCUUGGCCCCGCGAUCAGAUACCCCAGCCCACGCAGGCGGCGUCCUCCGUUGUCGCUGGGGACAAGUGAAGGGGCUGCAGAUGGGAAGAGUCACCCUACAGCGAGGAGGCGAUCGUAAAUGAUGGAGUCAGUACUCUCGCACAUUAACAUGCCGGAAGUGUUGGGCAGGCCUCUGAGAAAGCUAACGACUGCCCCUUUGACUGCCUCCUGAAGGUCUUACUGAAGUUGGAGAAGGUAGAAUGCUCCUUCAACCCCUUGGUUAAACCACACCCCCUCCCCGUGCAAAAGUAGGUGUAAGAUAAAAAGAAUGCAAGAAAAAGCAAUAAAGCCCGGUGUUGGAUUUUAUUCCAUUUUACUUUGAAAGUCUCUCCAGUAGUGAUGAAAUCACUGAGAAGUUCAGAAACCAGAAAAGAAGAAGAAGAAGAAGAAAAAACAGUCAGAAAAUUUCUGCUGAGAAUAGACUAAAGAAAAGGGGGCGGGGAGCAGAACCAGAUGAUUGGCAAGAAGGCUUCAAGUGUGUGAGGAUGUAGGAGUUUCUUCCUGGAUGCUAGUUCCCUCAAGUCCCCAAGAAACAGUGGGCAGACUGCAGUAACAGUUGGAUAGGGGGAAACCUUUCAGUUAUUGAGUAAAUGUUCUAUCUAAUUUCCGAUUUAGAAAGAGAUUAAGGAAAAAAUGGCUGGCUAUGUGCCAACAACAAUACCUAUAAUUUUAUAUAUACAUACACGAUUAUCCCAAGUUAUUAACUGCUUUUAAAAUAGUAAACUGAGGGAGAUCUGGGAAUUCUCUUUGGUAUAAAUGUCUUGCACUUACUUUAAACUUGAACUGGGGCUUCAUAAAAACAAAUGAGCCCAUGUGUCUACGUCUGCCAGUAAUUUUCACAGUUUACUGUAAAAGCAAUAGCUCAGACUUUGGAGAGAAAAACCCAAGAGUUCGUCCGUCAAUGUACAUGGUAGAUGCCUAUGCCUACAGAAUGUCUGGAUUUGGAAUCAUCGCUCACAAUGUGUUCGUUGCUCUUGUUGACAGCCUGCAAAAGUCACACUUUAUUAACCUUAAGAGUUCUUGAUAAAGUUGAGAAUUCCCAUAUGAAUAAAAAGCUGUGGACUCUGGGAAGAUGAGUAAGGAAGCAAAGGCACAGCUAACUGUGCAGGCCUGGGGACCUGAGUUCAAUCCCUGGAUGGCAAGCCAAAAGCCAGAACUUGACAGACUUUUGUGAUCCCUGAACUCCUGCAGGGAAAUGAGGUGGAAACGGGAGACUUUGGGCUGGAAGCUCUUGGCCAGUCAGCCUGGAAUAUGCAGCUGUGCACUUGAGAGACCCUGCCUCAACCAGGCGGAAGGUGAGAGCGGCCCUCUGCCCGCAUGUGCACACACAAAAUGAUAAAAACAAAGUUAGGUGUGGUACUCGCUCUGUAAUCCCAGGGCUCAGGUGGCUUCAGUUCCAGGCCAGCCUGGGCUACAGUCUAAGACCCUAACUCCAAAAGCCAAAAAGAUUUAAAAAAAAAAAAAAAAAAAAGCUUUGUGUUUUUGUUGUUGUUUAUAAACUGAGUUAUUUCAAAAUCUGUUCCCCAUCCAUUUAUAUGUAAAUAAAGCAGUGACUACUUGCAACAAA
Long non-coding RNA from Peromyscus eremicus (cactus mouse), 1846 nucleotides. RefSeq lists it as uncharacterized. Lineage: Eukaryota; Metazoa; Chordata; Mammalia; Rodentia; Cricetidae. The record is from RefSeq and is a predicted model, not a curated record. The transcript has 2 exons.